This 201-nucleotide long non-coding RNA is filed under the name Solanum tuberosum (potato). RNAcentral describes it as "long non-coding RNA (STUB_LNC008365)". The record is from RNAcentral. Lineage: Eukaryota; Viridiplantae; Streptophyta; Magnoliopsida; Solanales; Solanaceae.
UUCUCCAAAACCCAACCCCAUAAAAUUUACUCCGCAUUUUCUUCUCUAGUGUCACCACAUCUUUAUCGGAUUCCAAGUUACUUCCAAGAUUCAAAAAUAGAUUCACCACAUCUUUAACAAUAAACUUUGAAGCUAAAGUUGUUGCUAAGCCAAGAAGAGGUAAAAAUCUUAUUUUGAUCUAUUUUUGGAUCUUAAUAAAAG